This is a non-coding RNA of Pelobates cultripes (western spadefoot toad), 7908 nucleotides long. The record is from the annotation of a GenBank genome assembly. NCBI's taxonomy places the organism in Eukaryota, Metazoa, Chordata, Amphibia, Anura, Pelobatidae.
CCAUUGCUAGCCUUCAAAAUAACAGACAGAAAUCUAUGUGGUUCAAAUAAAUACACUUUAUUAAAGAAAAACAGCUGAAUAAUCUUAAGCACCAAAACUUUGUAUGCGUUUACAUAGCUUUAGUAGGAAAAAAAAGGAAUUUAAUGAAAAGGGCAUUGAAACGUAUGACACUAAUAAAAAAUGAUAUACAAAGCAAUCCGAUAAUUACAAGGUGCACUAAUUGAAAAGAGAAUUAGACAGAAAGGCAAAUGAACAGGGUUUUCGUUUCAUAGUAUUGCUAUACAUAGAGGCUUGCGUUAGAAAAAAAAUGAUACUUUAGCUUAAUAAAUACUUUCCAUUAAUUGAGCAUUAUGUGGUGCUGUAUCUUGUCACGUCAUCAUUUACAAUAUAAUGUGCAUUAUUAAACAUUUCAUUUAUAUCUCAUAAAGAGGAUCACGUUAGUGUUUUAGGUUCAUAUCUUAUGAUAUUGCACAAAGUAUUAAAUGAGUAGUUACUGUCCCCUAUCCCAUUAUCUGCACUCAGAAUAAAACUAGUCAGUGCUCUGCCCUCUCAGUGCAAACGUCUCUUGUGCAACACUUAAACACUCAUUUCAAUUCUUCUGUGACAACACAGGCAGUGCAAGAGGAAGAAACAAACAAGCAGAUUGUCUUUACAUUGGCGAAUUCAUGCAUCUCUCUUACAAUAACACAGGGUUAUUCACUAGGACUCAGAACAAAUACCAAAUAAUAGGCUGGAAGAGCUGAAUUGGAAACAUCGCUGGCUAGAAUAUACAGUUUAGCUAUUCUGGCCUUGCAAUAGAAAUUCACUUUGAAUUCAACAAUUCAUCCUUUACUGAACCCCGAAUUGUCUUACAGUUGUGCAGUGUAUGGCAAAAUAAAGAAAACCCACACGUCUCUGGAUUGCUGUUUUUAUUUUAAAUUCUUUUUAAUGAAGUUAUAGAAUUUGAAUAUCACGGCUUUUGUAAUUCUAAUAGCAAAGUACGACAAUAUUAUCUAAACUCUUCAUGUCUGGAGGCUGAAGUAUCUACACGUGGAUAGACACUGCUGGGAAAAUAAUAGAAAUUUUGAAAACCCUGGUAUUUAUUUAAUUAUCAUAGAAAUACUUGGUUUAAAAAGAAACAAAUCCACAAUUUUGAUCUUUUACCACCUGUCUCUCCAGUAUAACGCGAUGAUAACUAAAUGGUUUUAUGACCUCUGACACAAUGCCUUGAAGCACUGGCAAACAAGCCACCUAGAUAUGGGAGCUGCUACACGUCCUUCAAAUGUCAUUGUGACUCAUACGUGAACGGUUCAACACGCGACAGAUCAAAGAAAGCAGGGGGCUCAGUAACGGCAAACCCCAAUACAGCCAUGGUUUAAAUAUCUCAUAGCCAAGAAGUUCAUUAAAGGUUCCGGAAACAUUAGAAUUCAACGCAUCAUGGCAAAAGGUACGAAGUGAUGUGCGGCAGGAAAUGUUCUUGUGUCACCAUGUUUAAUUACUAAUAACAUUUAAUAAUUUAUGUUUUUCCCUUGGAUGAACUGCCAAACUGCUUUGUGGUGAAAGUAUUUUGCAAAUUUCUAUGUCAAUUCUAACAUUUAAAUGCUGGGCGAUAUUAAUAUCACCCCGUAAGCUACAAACACAUAAUACAGCAAUUGCAAACAGUUUGGGGCUCCAUCUUUUGAAGAUCCCAUGUCGGAGUAUUUUGGGAGAGUGAUUUAGUGGGGUAUCAAAACGCUAGCCAUCGAAGCAUUAGACUGAUUUUCUUUAGUCAUACUGUGAUCAGAUUCCACUAUGAAUAUCUGCUGAAUGUGACACUGUGCGUAUAACACCUGGAAUCCAGGAACACAAAGCAAGAAUAAAAUGUCUUACUGAUGGAUAAAUGAAUAUGGCUAGAGUCCCAUUAUAGAACCUGUAUAUAAGGAAAAGACAAUAAAAUGGGAGUAGAAAUGACUAUUUCAUAUUAGGAAAGCUGGGGGACUAUUCUACAGUUUCAUCGAUCUAUGUUUCUUACACCGAAUGUCCACACAGUAUAAAAAGCAUUUACCGCUAUUAAAAGCUACAUUACAGUUUCUGUUCAUUGGAAGAUUAUUCAGAUUUCAAUCUGGUCUUCAUUUUAAAAGGUCAGAUUAAAAAAACAAAAACUGCUUUUAGAUGGGAAUAUCCUAUAAAUAUCUUGUUCUCGCACAAAUUAAGCCAACAAAAAAACAAAACAGCAUGGCGUCUUGGGGUUAAAAAAUGAAUGAAAGAAUUGGAGUAAUGUUGAGUUUCCUCAUUGUUAGAAAGGUUCAGAAAGGUGGAUGAGAUGUUUGGCUAAUAACAGGUAACACCGGGUAACGAGCCAGAAGAGGGAGAAGCACAAUGUACACACUAAAUGUUAGCCUAUUGGCUGGAUUACUUUAUUGUUAAUGCUCUUGAACUUACUCCCACCUAGAACUUUGCCAUUUCCUCAUCACAUCUCGCGGUAACCGCCUCAUUGAUAAUUGGCAUUCAGGCCAACCUUGUAUCAUCUCUCAUCAUGUGUCUGAACAGCAGCCAUUUCACUAUCUCUGCUGCAUUAUUGCUUCAUCCAACUAACCCCCAAACCUCCUGGCAUGUUUCCCCUCCCCCUUAAUCUGCCCCCUCUCAUUGCAUGUUUGUCAGUCCCUCCACUAGUGCAACUGUAUACUCCCCACUCAACACAGGCUCAUCUCCUUCCAAGCCCUUUGUAACUUACUGCAUUCAUAAUAAAAUCUAAAUUAAAGAGACAAUCAAUAAGAGUUGGUGAGAUAUUGUGAUAACACUGUGUGGCUUUUUAGUGGAGGGGAAAAUUUUGCCGGGGAAAAUUGAAAAAAUUAUGUUACGUUAAAACACAAAAGUUAUUUCAAAGAAAAAAGACUUGUCUGUAAAUGAAGGUAAUGACUGGUAUUGAAACUGCAUGGAAUCAAAGAUAUGAUUAGAUUUAACUGUAGAUAAUACAUUCAAUUAUUUUGAUAAUGUGCUACAGCUCAAGUCAACUUUAAAGGGACACUGUAGUCAAUAGAACCACUACAGCGUAAUGUAAUGGUUCUGGUGUCUGUAGCCUGUCCCUGCAGGCUGAGCACUGUAAACACUACCAUUUUAGGGAAAAGACAUUGUUUACAUUGCUGCCUAGUUACAACUCCAGUGACAGCCUCUCAGACGGCCACUAGAGGUGCUUCCUAUCUCAAUGGUGCAGUAUGUAGCACCCACGUUCAGGGCAUGGAGGCACUGAACAUUCCCCAUAGAGAUGCAUUGAUUCAAUGUAUUUCUGAGUUGAUGCUGAUUGGACAGCAUGACGUUUUGCCGCACAUGCACAAUAGCCCACCAAUGCGUUCCUGUGAUGAUUUUAGUCAUUGCGACAGAGAUGGAGCCAGCCGCAGCAAGGCAUGGAAAAAAAGGUGAUUAAAAAGUUUCCCACACAAUCUAAGGGGAGCUGGUGACAAAUAGUUAAACACUAUAGGGUUAGGAAUAUAUCUUUGCAUUCCCGACACUCUAAUGUUGCUUAAAGUCAAUUCUUGCUCUUUAAGUCUAUGAGAAUAUUUCAUUAGCUUCUUAUUCUGAGCACCAUUUCAAGAUUCUGCUAUCACAUCAAAAAGGUGCGGUGCUUCGCAUUUUUAAAGCACUGAAUCAUUAGUUAGCUUUCAUCAUCAUUAAUUACAGGAAGCCAAAUGAAAGGACUUCAAAUAUGCAAAAAGAGUCAUUUGUGUUUCUAUAUUUAUUAACAUAAUUCUCAAGUCCUUUUUUUUAGGGGGGGGGGGAAGAGGGGGAGGGAGAUAAACCCUUGCAACUAGAACAGUGAUUUGUUACCCUGGGUCAAUAUUUGUUUUUUUCCAUUGAUAAAAAGAGGCAAACUAUAUAAAAUCAGGCCAAAGGCAACGGCGCACUAUAAGCCGUUUGUUGUAUUAACUUGCCUUUCCUGAGCAGUUGGCACCCGUGUGACACCAGGAACAUCCAAGGUGUUUGGGAAAAUGCAUUUUAACAUUACAUAACAAGGAGUUCAUUUUAUAACCGAAGAAGGUGCCAACUACCCUUUGCCAAUUUUAAAAUCCCUUCACUUGUUCAAUGUUUGUGUCUCUAGUCUGUUUGCAACAAAGCGAAAAGCAGCUAUAUAUUUCUUUGCUUAUUAGUGAUUUAUGGUUUGGUUUUUUUGACACUUUGUUUUGUUAGCACGUGGUCUAGAAGAUUUAUACUGUAGUCAUUUUAUGUAAAGACAGGGCUGAGUGAGCAUCUACACACAGCUACUGUCAGUGCAGAUCAUAGAGGCAGUAACAUUUCCUUAAUUAUCUAUAAAGGGCCUGGGUGUCUGCUAUAUUUAUUAGAACUAUGGUAACACAAUGUCUUCUAGUGCGAGUGGCCACUGGAAGAUCAACAAUUCAAUUUAUAUCACUGAACGUCAUCAUGGGCUAUGUUUAUUUAAAAUAAUGUGUGAAUAUACAUUUUUAGAUAUCUACAUUUUACAUUCACUGGCUGCAGAUCAGAAAAAGAUCCACGUACCUGUUAGAAAUAUAUAUUUAGAAUACCUAUGUAUUACAGCCUUAAUCUAACCUUUAAUUUAUGUAUGCUUAUACAUAAUCUCUCCCUAAUGUUCCUGCACUUCAUGAUUUGAUCUUUGAAGACAGGGAUUUCAGGAACAUUUAGUAACAAUCAGACCAGGACCCAGACUUUAUAGGGGACAUAAGCUUGCAACCCAUUCUUCAAUUAUAAUGCAACAAAGGUUUCACAGGGGAAGGCAGUGCUGCGUUAUGGAACCAUUUAUUGAGGGCAAUAUGCUGAACAAGGAUCCAUCACCAUUACAUGUACAUGCAGUACUAAAUUAAUAUCUACCUUUAGAUAAUUACACGCACACAGUCUACACUCAUCUUCUUUUUAUUGGAGGUUAAAGGGUAUUCAUAAACAAAUUUGGUUUUCCAGUAAUUUUCAUGCAUAAAACAAUUCAUUGUUCCUCCUGACAAAGAAAGAGUUACAGUCCCCGCAGCAGGCUUCGCAAUCUGUCAGCAGACACAGAUGUGCAAUAGUUGGCAGGAUUGCUCCUAGAGUUGCUAAUACUGUCACAAGGACGUUACAUGAUCCCGCACCAUCAUUAGGACUGCAGAAAGAAUAAACUAAUUGUCACGGAGAACGACCACUCAAAGCAACCACUUCAAAGGCACAUAAUAAAUGAAUGAUUUUAGUGGAAAAUGUACCUGAUCAAGUCUGAUGUGAAACCUCAGUGAUAAGGCAAUAAAACUCUCUAUGUGCUACAUAGCAUUUAACUAAUUCAAAGCUCAAGUCUCAGAACACUGUACCAGAGAUUCUCAGUCCACAAGGUGAGCCAGUCUCAGUGCGCCCACUAUUUUCCGGGCAGAGUGGCUUCAAGGAGGAAGCUUCAUAUGGUUUAGAUGAACUAUUCCAAAUAUUCAAACGGAGUGAAAUCCUGAGUUUUUCACCCAAUAAUAAGAAUCCGUUUACCUCCAGUUUUAGUGAAUAAGUCUCAUAGUGUGUUUGCACGGAGAGAAAGAAUAAUUGGGUUAUGGCAAGAGAGAUGUGGUACAGAGGACACAGUUCUUGUAUGAUUUAGUGUUCCAAUAAUGGUUCAGGCUGGUGAUAGAUGCACACACACCCAUAUCAAUUUACCCUUUAUCCUCAAAUGUGGGGUAAGAAAGCAGGUCUGUCUAGAAGAAGGAAUGAAGUACGAAUUCCUUAUGAGAAUAAGUUUUGGUGGUGAUGCUACAUGAAGUCAUCUCAGCACAUGCACACUCCAAAAUUCUCUCUUAUUGCUACAGACCUUACACUACCGUAGUUCCAUACAGAAUGUAACAGGAUAUGAUUCAGAGUACAAUGAUACAGAUAUGAAAAGCGGUUAGGAGGAUCUGAAUGCCACCUCAAUAUUUACUUGGAACAAUGGCUUUUAACUUGGAAUCACAGAAAUAGCAUUAACGUGAAAAGCAGAUACCAAGUUUUUUUUUGCCCAGUUUGGUAGGUAGUUCACGACUUGAAUAAAGUCCACUGAGCAGAAAUGUAUAUAAAGGCCUUUAUUUUAGGUUACAUCAAUAACUCAGGAACGUGUCACAGCUCCUAUUAAUACGCGAAAGGGAUUUUCAAAUCCUGUUCCUAUUUUUUAAAAGUCGUAUCAAAAUAUACCCGUAUGUUAACUUGACACACCAGCUACAUUUCCAAUGUGGGAAACACUUCAUACAUUUGCUUAGUACUAGAUGAAGAUUAAACAAGAUUUGUUUUUGUUUAUACAGAUUUUCCAUAUUGGCAAAUCCAUCUUCAAGUAGUUGAAGAAAUGCAGAAGUUUUGCGCAGAAGGCAGUUGCUGUGGUUUUAAUAUUGCAGAUUCACCUUGGUAUGGCAAUAGUCACUAUGUAAUGAAUACCACAGUGUCAACUUUAAGUGCCUGAGAGUAAAUAGAGAUUGAUUGAUUGAGAACAUCUUGGCCUUCUGCAUUUACAAACCUAGAAUGAUUAGUUUCCCUUUCCCAAAAUACUGACAAAUAUUGCCGAAAAUCUUUAUAUCUCAGAUUGGGAAUGCAGUAGUUUUGCCAAAACAGCACGUAUAUUUUGAUAUGGCAUUUUUGUUUUCUUACUUUACUACCAUUUUAAUUCGCACCAGACAGUUCUACGUGUUUUUUUAUCAUGGUAGGCAUUAUUAAAAGGCACCAAAAAAUCCAAAUUGGAUUAGUAUCAUGCAACAAAAUUGUGCAAAAUAUAUAUAUAUAUUACAAAAUGAAUAGACUAAGUGACCCCUAUACCGAGAAUAUCCCGGACAGGGGCUGGUCAGUGGGGGUGGUACCAAUUCCACCCAGGGCUUAACCCUUAUAGUAAAAAUAUAAAUCAGGGAAACCUCAUGCGAGAAUCCCCGGUUUGGCAUUUCAUAAAACUAAUUUAUUGAAUGAAAUGUCUUCAACAGUAAACAAUGUGUGAGAAGAUUGCUGCAACAUAGCAAAAGAUAACCAUUUAACCGUCUAUUCAAUGAUAUCACAGGCUUUAUUCGGCUGACAGUUGAAUCGAUAUGCUAAUUAGAUAUAGUGAUUCUAAAAAGCAAGCCAACAGGUGAUAUAUUGUGUCUCUGUAUAUUCCCUAUUAGUAUAAUACACAUCCCUUCAGAAUCAUUUCAGAAUUACAAUGUCCAAAUAAUCUGCAACAAUCGUUGAAAAAGGAGAGGGGAGUGCAAUUGGGGGAAAAGAAAACAGUAUUUCUAAUAGGGAGAGAUCACCAAAUUGUCCAUUGGCUGUAAUGGCAGUACAGGGGGUUAUUGGAGUAGAAAAGUAGGGUAAUAAUAGUAAUAUAAGUAUACAAAGCGAGAUGAUAUUGGAAGAUCUGGAGAGAUAGAAGGAGGGAGAAGGUAAGUAACGUUAGACACAGCUUGGGUAAGUAUGAUGGUAAUCAAAGGUAGCAAUUGUCUGGAGGUUUAAAAGUGCCUAUUUCUAAACAUAUAUGCUGCUCCUUAUCCUGAAAAAUGUCCACUUAUCUAUAAUCUGGAAUAUUAAAUACAAUCGCCAAAAUCCCUCAAUUACUGCACCUUCAAUGGUGCAAAAAACCCAAAAUAAGUAUAAUCUCCUGCACCUACACGGUUCUGUUAGUGGCUGAUACUGAUAUCCUAUAGCACCUUCAUGGAGGCUAAUGGUAAAAGUCCCUGUAUAAACGGCUGCAAUGGAGUCUUCUAUCUCCUAGUAUACGUAGGUAAACCCUAACUUAACCCCAUGGAGCAUCAAGCUUAGUGCAUAGUGAAUAAAGUGCUAAGUGAAAAAGUAAAUAAAAAUUAAGUCCCAACACACAUUUCGGUGCUCUAAUGGCACCUUCGCCAGGGGAGCUCCCCUGUGCUAUCAUUACAGCACCGAAACGCGCGUCGAGACUUUAUUUUUAUUAACUUUUCACUUAGCCGAUUAUUUUUUAAUAUUCCAGAUUAUAGAUAAGUGGACUUUUUUUCUGGAUAAGGAGCAGCAUAUAUG